GAUGAACGCUGGCGGCGUGCCUAAUACAUGCAAGUCGAGCGAACGGACGAGAAGCUUGCUUCUCUGAUGUUAGCGGCGGACGGGUGAGUAACACGUGGAUAACCUACCUAUAAGACUGGGAUAACUUCGGGAAACCGUAGCUAAUACCGGAUAAUAUUUUUAACCGCAUGGUUCAAAAGUGAAAGACGGUCUUGCUGUCACUUAUAGAUGGAUCCGCGCUGCAUUAGCUAUUUGGUAAGGUAACGGCUUACCAAGGCAACGAUGCAUAGCCGACCUGAGAGGGUGAUCGGCCACACUGGAACUAGGAAACGGUCCAGACUCCUACGGGAGGCAGCAGUAGGGAAUCUUCCGAAAUGGGCGAAAGCCUGACGGAGAAACGCCGCGUGAGGGAUGAAGGUCUUCGGAUCGUAAAACUCUGUUAUUAGGGAAGAACAUAUGUGUAAGUAACAGUGCACAUCUUGACGGUACCUAAUCAGAAAGCCACGGCUAACUACGUG
RNAcentral lists this ribosomal RNA (497 nucleotides) under uncultured bacterium. RNAcentral describes it as "partial 16S ribosomal RNA". It matches the Rfam family "Bacterial small subunit ribosomal RNA", at positions 28 to 507 of the family's 1533-position model. The record is from RNAcentral.